ACGCUAGCUACAGGCUUAACACAUGCAAGUCGAGGGGCAGCAUGGUCUUAGCUUGCUAAGGCCGAUGGCGACCGGCGCACGGGUGAGUAACACGUAUCCAACCUGCCGUCUACUCUUGGACAGCCUUCUGAAAGGAAGAUUAAUACAAGAUGGCAUCAUGAGUCCACAUGUUCACAUGAUUAAAGGUAUUCCGGUAGACGAUGGGGAUGCGUUCCAUUAGAUAGUAGGCGGGGUAACGGCCCACCUAGUCUUCGAUGGAUAGGGGUUCUGAGAGGAAGGUCCCCCACAUUGGAACUGAGACACGGUCCAAACUCCUACGGGAGGCAGCAGUGAGGAAUAUUGGUCAAUGGGCGAGAGCCUGAACCAGCCAAGUAGCGUGAAGGAUGACUGCCCUAUGGGUUGUAAACUUCUUUUAUAAAGGAAUAAAGUCGGGUAUGCAUACCCGUUUGCAUGUACUUUAUGAAUAAGGAUCGGCUAACUCCGUGCCAGCAGCCGCGGUAAUACGGAGGAUCCGAGCGUUAUCCGGAUUUAUUGGGUUUAAAGGGAGCGUAGAUGGAUGUUUAAGUCAGUUGUGAAAGUUUGCGGCUCAACCGUAAAAUUGCAGUUGAUACUGGAUAUCUUGAGUGCAGUUGAGGCAGGCGGAAUUCGUGGUGUAGCGGUGAAAUGCUUAGAUAUCACGAAGAACUCCGAUUGCGAAGGCAGCCUGCUAAGCUGCAACUGACAUUGAGGCUCGAAAGUGUGGGUAUCAAACAGGAUUAGAUACCCUGGUAGUCCACACGGUAAACGAUGAAUACUCGCUGUUUGCGAUAUACUGCAAGCGGCCAAGCGAAAGCGUUAAGUAUUCCACCUGGGGAGUACGCCGGCAACGGUGAAACUCAAAGGAAUUGACGGGGGCCCGCACAAGCGGAGGAACAUGUGGUUUAAUUCGAUGAUACGCGAGGAACCUUACCCGGGCUUAAAUUGCAGAUGAAUUACGGUGAAAGCCGUAAGCCGCAAGGCAUCUGUGAAGGUGCUGCAUGGUUGUCGUCAGCUCGUGCCGUGAGGUGUCGGCUUAAGUGCCAUAACGAGCGCAACCCUUGUUGUCAGUUACUAACAGGUUCUGCUGAGGACUCUGACAAGACUGCCAUCGUAAGAUGUGAGGAAGGUGGGGAUGACGUCAAAUCAGCACGGCCCUUACGUCCGGGGCUACACACGUGUUACAAUGGGGGGUACAGAGGGCCGCUACCACGCGAGUGGAUGCCAAUCCCAAAAACCUCUCUCAGUUCGGACUGGAGUCUGCAACCCGACUCCACGAAGCUGGAUUCGCUAGUAAUCGCGCAUCAGCCACGGCGCGGUGAAUACGUUCCCGGGCCUUGUACACACCGCCCGUCAAGCCAUGGGAGCCGGGGGUACCUGAAGUGCGUAACCGCGAGGAGCGCCCUAGGGUAAAACUGGUGACUGGGG
RNAcentral lists this ribosomal RNA (1443 nucleotides) under uncultured organism. RNAcentral describes it as "SSU rRNA". It matches the Rfam family "Bacterial small subunit ribosomal RNA". The record is from RNAcentral.